GGAUGAACGCUGGCCGGCGUCCCUAAUACAUGGAAAUUGAACGCUUUGUGGUUCAAUUGAUUUGAAGAGCUUGCUUAGAUAUGACGAUGGACAUUGCAAAGAGUGGCGAACGGGUGAUUAACACGUGGGAAACCUACCUCUUAGCAGGGGAUAACAUUUGGAAACAGAUGCUAAUACCGUAUAACAAUGACAAACGCAUGGUGUUAUUUAAAAGAUGGUUCUGCUAUCACUAAGAGAUGGUCCCGCGGUGCAUUAGCUAGUUGGUAAGGUAAUGGCUUACCAAGGCGAUGAUGCAUAGCCGAGUUGAGAGACUGAUCGGCCACAAUGGGACUGAGACACGGCCCAUACUCCUACGGGAGGCAGCAGUAGGGAAUCUUCCACAAUGGGCGAAAGCCUGAUGGAGCAACGCCGCGUGUGUGAUGAAGGGUUUCGGCUCGUAAAACACUGUUGUAAGAGAAGAAUGACAUUGAGAGUAACUGUUCAAUGUGUGACGGUAUCUUACCAGAAAGGAACGGCUAAAUACGUGCCAGCAGCCGCGGUAAUACGUAUGUUCCAAGCGUUAUCCGGAUUUAUUGGGCGUAAAGCGAGCGCAGACGGUUAUUUAAGUCUGAAGUGAAAGCCCUCAGCUCAACUGAGGAAUUGCUUUGGAAACUGGAUGACUUGAGUGCAGUAGAGGAAAGUGGAACUCCAUGUGUAGCGGUGAAAUGCGUAGAUAUAUGGAAGAACACCAGUGGCGAAGGCGGCUUUCUGGACUGUAACUGACGUUGAGGCUCGAAAGUGUGGGUAGCAAACAGGAUUAGAUACCCUGGUAGUUCACCCCGUAAACGAUGAGUGCUAGGGGUUAGAGGGUUU
RNAcentral lists this ribosomal RNA (852 nucleotides) under Weissella confusa. RNAcentral's name for it is "bacterial SSU rRNA". It matches the Rfam family "Bacterial small subunit ribosomal RNA", at positions 27 to 833 of the family's 1533-position model. Lineage: Bacteria; Bacillati; Bacillota; Bacilli; Lactobacillales; Lactobacillaceae. The record is from RNAcentral.